GUGGGGAAUCUUAGACAAUGGGGGAAACCCUGAUCUAGCCAUGCCGCGUGAGCGAUGAAGGCCUUAGGGUUGUAAAGCUCUUUCAGCUGGGAAGAUAAUGACGGUACCAGCAGAAGAAGCCCCGGCUAACUCCGUGCCAGCAGCCGCGGUAAUACGGAGGGGGCUAGCGUUGUUCGGAAUUACUGGGCGUAAAGCGCGCGUAGGCGGACCAGAAAGUUGGAGGUGAAAUCCCAGGGCUCAACCUUGGAACUGCCUUCAAAACUCCUGGCCUGGAGUUCGAGAGAGGUGAGUGGAAUUCCGAGUGUAGAGGUGAAAUUCGUAGAUACUCGGAGGAACACCAGUGGCGAAGGCGGCUCACUGGCUCGAUACUGACGCUGAGGUGCGAAAGCGUGGGGAGCAAACAGGAUUAGAAACCCGGGUAGUCC
RNAcentral lists this ribosomal RNA (425 nucleotides) under uncultured bacterium. RNAcentral describes it as "partial 16S ribosomal RNA". It matches the Rfam family "Bacterial small subunit ribosomal RNA", at positions 354 to 796 of the family's 1533-position model. The record is from RNAcentral.